RNAcentral lists this long non-coding RNA (480 nucleotides) under Durio zibethinus. RNAcentral describes it as "long non-coding RNA (DZIB_LNC000314)". The record is from RNAcentral. Lineage: Eukaryota; Viridiplantae; Streptophyta; Magnoliopsida; Malvales; Malvaceae.
AAUUUCUCUCUUUUUUUAACCUUUUUCUUAAAAACUUCCUUCUUUACCUUUUUAUAACUUAAAGUGUUUAUGUAAUGAACUUCCCUUCCUCAGGGGUAUGAGGCACGAAGGGUGCAUCUCAGUCCCUUUUCGAAAGAGAAAAGGUCUCUGUCUCUUUCUGCUGGUGAUGAUAAGCUCUUGCUUUUUUUUUACCCGGAUAUAGAAAGUGAAAGUGAAAUGCAAUCUUUAUCAACAAAUGAAGGAAGCCAAUUUCUUCUUCCUUAGCGGGCCGUUAAAGCAGCUCUUCUUCUAUCUCGUUCCCGUGGCCUAAGAUAAAUUGCUUCCCUCAAAGAUUGAAAAUCAUCCACAUAUCGACUUUCUUCAGGGCUGGAUACAUAAAAAUUCUUUCUCAUUAUUCAAUAUUUACAAAAUUGGCAAAUGCAACCAUGACACAAAUGUCAAUUCUCAAUAAAUGAUGCGAAUGCACGUCUUUUUGCAAAU